This 253-nucleotide ribosomal RNA is filed under the name uncultured bacterium. RNAcentral describes it as "partial 16S ribosomal RNA". It matches the Rfam family "Bacterial small subunit ribosomal RNA", at positions 524 to 776 of the family's 1533-position model. The record is from RNAcentral.
UACAGAGGGUGCUAGCGUUGUUCGGAAUCAUUGGGCGUAAAGAGCGUGUAGGCGGUUAGGUAGGUCCGUUGUGAAAACUCGAGGCUCAACCUCGAGACGCCGAUGGAAACCCCCUAACUAGAGUCCGGAAGAGGAGAGUGGAAUUCCUGGUGUAGCGGUGAAAUGCGCAGAUAUCAGGAAGAACACCCGUGGCUAAGGCGGCUCUCUAGUACGGUACUGACGCUGAGACGCGAAAGCGUGGGGAGCGAACAGG